Gambusia affinis (western mosquitofish) is the source of this 773-nucleotide non-coding RNA. The record is from the annotation of a RefSeq genome assembly. Lineage: Eukaryota; Metazoa; Chordata; Actinopteri; Cyprinodontiformes; Poeciliidae.
UUAAAAUAUCUGUUGGGCACAAUUUCACAGUUGUUUUUGUGACAUUAUUUUUCUUAAAAUGCGUCAAAAAGCCAGAGGACGAUAAAUGAAACGUCUACAAAAUGUGCCACUAUUAGGGGGAGUUAAUCGAUUCCUCAUCAGAAUAAUCAUUACUAAAAUAAUCAUGGUUGCAGCCAUAACUCGUUCACAAUCAGUGGGCGGAGUCACAACCUGCAGCGACUCUCAGGUCUCACACACGUUCAGUCUGAGAACAUGACUCCUAUCAGACACAGCUUGUUUCUUUUUGCUCUCUGGAUUAAAGGUCUAACAGAUGGCAGUGACGUUGUCACUCAGACUCCUCUGCUGUGGGUCAACCAGAGUCAGUCCACCACCAUGACCUGCAGUCACAAUAAAGACGCUUCUUACUUCCAGAUGUACUGGUACCAGCAGCUGCCGGGUCAGAACAUGAAGCUAAUAGUUUUCACAACAACAUCUCCUCCAUUCCAGUAUGAAAAAGGCUUCAGCAAGGAGAAGUUUCCAGCGGACAGGAAGGACGCUCUGAGCGGAUCUCUGACGGUGAAGCAGCUGCAGCCUGAAGACAGCGGAGUGUAUUUCUGCUCCGUCAGUCAACACAGUGAUGAGGCCGAGUCAAAGAGCUGCACAAAAACCCAGCUGCUGGAGGCACAGUGAAGUUACACUUCAUCGGCAGCAGGGGGAGCUCUCAAUUCAAACUCUGUAGCAUCUCAACAUGUUUACAAAGGGCGGAGUAUUUCAUCUUUUAUAAAUAUUCUUCU